This 253-nucleotide ribosomal RNA is filed under the name uncultured bacterium. RNAcentral describes it as "partial 16S ribosomal RNA". It matches the Rfam family "Bacterial small subunit ribosomal RNA", at positions 524 to 776 of the family's 1533-position model. The record is from RNAcentral.
UACGUAGGGGGCAAGCGUUGUCCGGAUUUAUUGGGCGUAAAGAGCGUGUAGGCGGCUAGGUAGGUCCGUUGUGAAAACUCGAGGCUCAACCUCGAGACGCCGAUGGAAACCAUCUGGCUAGAGUCCGGAAGAGGAGAGUGGAAUUCCUGGUGUAGCGGUGAAAUGCGCAGAUAUCAGGAAGAACACCCGUGGCUAAGGCGGCUCUCUAGUACGGUACUGACGCUAAGACGCGAAAGCGUGGGGAGCGAACAGG